This 870-nucleotide non-coding RNA is filed under the name Diasporus diastema (Caretta robber frog). RNAcentral describes it as "partial 12S ribosomal RNA". It matches the Rfam family "Bacterial small subunit ribosomal RNA", at positions 351 to 1522 of the family's 1533-position model. Lineage: Eukaryota; Metazoa; Chordata; Amphibia; Anura; Eleutherodactylidae. The record is from RNAcentral.
ACCCCUGUGAAAAUGCCCUAAGAGCCUAAUGGCCCAAAUGGAGCGGGUAUCAGGCACACAAACUGCCCAUAACACCUAGCCCUGCCACUCCCACAAGGGUAAUCAGCAGUGAUUAACAUUGAAUAUAAACGAAAGCUUGAUUCAGUCAGAGAAAUUAGAGCCGGCAAAUCUGGUGCCAGCCGCCGCGGCUAUACCAGUAGCUCAAGUUGAUUUCCAACGGCGUAAAGCGUGGUUAAAUAAUAAUUAAAACUAAAGCUAACCUAGGAUUAAGCCGUUAAAAGCUAAUUUUUAAAUAAACCUAAUAACGAAAGUCGCCUUACUCAUAUUGAACCCACUAAAGCUUGGACACAAACUGAGAUUAGAUACCCCACUAUGCCUUGCCCUAAACUUUUACCUACCCCUCAAUCGCCAGGGAACUACGAGCUAAGCUUAAAACCCAAAGGACUUGACGGUGCCCCACAUCCAUCUAGAGGAGCCUGUCCUAUAAUCGAUAACCCUCGUUUGACCUAACCACAUCUAGCCUAUCAGCCUGUAUACUUCCGUCGUCAGCUUACCACAUGAGUGAACCUCAGUAAGCUAAAUGUCUGAAUAGCACCACGUCAAUACGUCAGGUCAAAGUGCAGCAAAUGUUGUGGGAAGAGAUUGGCUACACUCUUUAACUUAAAAGAAACGGAAACAACUUAAAAUAUUGUUAGAAGGCGGAUUUAGUAGUAAAAAGAGAGCAUCUUGCUCAUUUUAACCCGGCACUGAGGCGCGUACACACCGCCCGUCACCCUCUUCGAGCAUAACCAAACAGUAUAUAACAACCUAUAGCAGCAUAGAAGAGGCAAGUCGUAACAUGGUAAGUAUACCGGAAGGUGUGCUUGGAAA